Molecule: small RNA, 124 nt
Filed under: Marmota monax (woodchuck)
Lineage: Eukaryota; Metazoa; Chordata; Mammalia; Rodentia; Sciuridae
Source: RNAcentral
GCCGGGUGAGGUGGUGCACACCUGUGAUCCCAGGGCUCUGGAGGCUGAGGUAGGAGGAUUGCAAGUUCAAAGCCAGCCUCUGCUAUGGAGGGGUGCUAAGCAACUCAGUGAGACCCUGUCUCUA